Molecule: ribosomal RNA, 278 nt
Filed under: uncultured fungus
Lineage: Eukaryota; Fungi
Description: partial small subunit ribosomal RNA
Rfam family: Eukaryotic small subunit ribosomal RNA (bases 53-278)
Source: RNAcentral
GAGUUGUUAUCUGAACCUCUUCGCCGUCAAACGUGGGGAGGGUAGGGUAGCAGUAGUCUUCAUCAUAGUCCACCUUGAUAUUCUCUUGGUGUGUACUGGGUGUUGACCUCCUUUAUUUCUGGUACUUCUACUGCAGCAAUGUAGUAGUUAGUCCAGAUAGUUUACUUUGAAAAAAUUAGAGUGUUCAAAGCAGGCAUAACUAGGCAUCAUGAAUACAUUAGCAUGGGAUAAUAGAAUAUGACAUUGGUCUUAUUUUGUUGGUUUCUAAGGCCAAAGUA